Stegodyphus mimosarum is the source of this 73-nucleotide non-coding RNA. NCBI's taxonomy places the organism in Eukaryota, Metazoa, Arthropoda, Arachnida, Araneae, Eresidae. The record is from Rfam.
GUCUUCGUGGUGUAGUGGUCAGCACGCUCGACGCGUAAUCGAGAGGUCAGUAGUUCGAUUCCCGGCGAAGGCG